AAAAUCCAUAGCCUUGAAAUUCGCUAGGAAUAACCGGAUGGAAUCUUCUGAUUUAGAUUCACCUAAUGAUGAGGAGAGGGACUACAUAGCUAAGAAAUUCCGAAAAAUGUUUAGAAAUAAGAAGAAGCUUCAAGAGAGGCAAAAUGGUGGCCCGAGUGAAUCUAGGAGAAAAUCUAAAUCCGUGAGAUGCCAUAACUGUUGGGGUUUCGGUUACGUGAGGAGUGAGUGCCCGAAUGCUAAAAGAGUUGAAGAGAAGGCAAUGAACACUACUCUCACUGAUGACAAGUCUAGCUCGGACAAUCAAAAUGAGGAAUCCACACAUGAGGAGAGUGGAAAAUAUGUGGCCUUUGUUGCUAAGGUUAAGAAUGGAUCCAAACGGGGGAGUGAAAGGGAUGAUGACCUAAAUAGUAGUGAAGAAUCUGGUGAUGAGGGUGGAAGUGAGGAAGAUCUAGAAGAAGCUUAUGAGAAGAUGUAUGAAGAAAGCCUCAAGAUCAUAGCUACUAACCAGGUGCUGAAUAAGAAAGUGAAGGAACUUAGAUUAGAGAAAGAACGGUUAGAGGCCGAGAUAGUGAUCUCACCAAUAAGAAUGAGAUGUCCUCUAGGAGAGUAAGUGAGCUGAUCGUUGAGAAUGAGACCUUAGCUAUUUAGGUUAAG
This 654-nucleotide long non-coding RNA is filed under the name Olea europaea subsp. europaea. The record is from RNAcentral. Lineage: Eukaryota; Viridiplantae; Streptophyta; Magnoliopsida; Lamiales; Oleaceae.